CCGCCGUUUUCUUUGCCAAGAGCUAUAGAACGCGCUCGUCAAACAAGCAUGGUUUGCCGAGAGCUUCACGGCGCCGCUCGGCAAAGAGCUCCUUCUCUCGGCAAACUAAUUUUUAUUUUUUUUUCCUUUUGCCCUGAGAUUUUUUUGUUAGUUUUCCCACUUAUAUUUGGUCACAAUAAUGAAAGUUGAGCCAUUUCUAAUAAAUAUAGCUAUAUUUCAUGCAUUUCUUUCGUUUCAUUGAAUUUUUUCGAUAAAUGCAUAUUUGAACAGCACGUGCAUGAUCAUAAGUUGGAUCUCUAGGUUUGUGAGCAUGUUGUGUGACGCCGUGCACAAAACGUUCUCAAAUUUUUACCAUAGGCUCCGCAUGUGAUAUCAUGACACCACACCAAGUUUCAUGUUUUUUUGGAAUUAGUUUGCAAUUAAUAUAAUUUAAAAACGAUUGACCUCCAAAUUUGAAGUCGUGUUCCGUCAACCCGAGGUGCGAGAGUUCGGGCCUGUACAUCCACACGGCCUUAUUUCACACUAAAUAAUAACAACGUCAACUUCCCAUGCAUAGAAUUCCAUUAUUUCAUGCACGUGCAGUUCAAAUAUGCAUUUAUCAGAAAAAUUCAAUGAAACGAAAGAAAUGCAAGAAAUAUAGCUAUAUUUAUUAGAAAUGGCUCAACUUUCAUUAUUGUGACCAAAUAUAAGUGGGAAAACUAACAAAAAAUCUCAAGGCA
This 719-nucleotide long non-coding RNA is filed under the name Sorghum bicolor (sorghum). Its description in RNAcentral is "long non-coding RNA (SBIC_LNC015005)". Lineage: Eukaryota; Viridiplantae; Streptophyta; Magnoliopsida; Poales; Poaceae. The record is from RNAcentral.